RNAcentral lists this unclassified non-coding RNA (639 nucleotides) under Hevea brasiliensis (rubber tree). Lineage: Eukaryota; Viridiplantae; Streptophyta; Magnoliopsida; Malpighiales; Euphorbiaceae. The record is from RNAcentral.
GGAGUGACCAACCCCCCCAUAAAUCAGAGUUCCUACCUCUUGUAAGAGGUCCAAGGCAUGCCCCCACAACACAAAGAAAGACGAGUUAACCUAAAGCAUAAUUCCCUAGAGCCCAGAUCUGUUCCAUGCUAGCCAUCAUUUUAUCGUUUUGGCGGCCUCUCAUCAUCCUCACCACUGUCGUCAUCGCUGUCAUCAUCCUUACUAGCUCUCUUCCUUUUCACAGAAUUAUCCUUUCCAGCAGGGGUGUCAUCAUCAUCAUCAGAGUUAUCAUCCUCGUCAUCGUCAUCACCGGUCUCAAAAUCACUUGCCUCUUCCUCGUUCACAGCAUGCGCUACAGGUUGGGCAAGGUAAUCUGCCCCCACAUCCUCCUCAUCAUCAUCCUCAUCGUCGUCGUCAUCAUCGUCGUCGUCGCUCCCACCAUCUCCGCCGCCGCUCACCCCCUCCUCCGGCUCAUCCUCGUCCUCAUCAUCAUCAUCCACCUCAUGCACCUGCGGCCCGUUCCCCGCCGGGAUCUCAUCCGCAUCCUCCUCUUCAUCGUCGUCGUCGUCACCCCCGUCAUCGUCCUCAUCAUCGUCGUCAUCAUCCUCCUUGACCUCCGUCAUCUCAUCUGGCUCCUCCUCCUCGUCCUCCUCAUCAUCA